GUCUGUCACCUCUCCCUCAUGUCUCUCUCUCUCUCUUCCUGUCACUCGUCCUCCUGCUCCCCCUGUUUCACCUGUUUGCACUCUACCGGCUGAUUACUGCUAUGAGUGUCAGCUGCAGCAAUCAGCUAAACACUACUCACCUGUUCUCCACCUCGCCUCAGCUAUAGAAGCUCUGUGCUUUCUUUCAGUCCCUGCUGGAUCAUCAACUCGCAAGUUGUCAUGGAUUCUGUUCCCCCAGCAAACCUACCACCGCUGGACUACUUCAGUAUUAUGGACACUUCUGAUUCCCCCUCUUGUACUCUGUUGUGCUCCUGUCAGUUUUGGACUUUCCCCUGGUUUUUGGGAUCAUGUUAAUCCUGGCCAGUCUCACCAGGAAAAACAAGUUCUAUCAGGGAUUCACACGAGGAUCCUCCAGCAUCUUCAGUCCAGCCAACUUUCUGGACCAGAUUCAGAAAAAAGGACUGGUCAUGGUGGUUUUUGGACUCGUGUUCAGUAAGCUGGUGAUCAGUCCAGACCCUCUGCCUUUCUGCAAAGACACUCCAGCUGACAUUAAAGAAAUCCAAGCACACAGAGACCUGCAUCCUCCUGUUGAAAGAUAAUCCAAAGAAAUUCUCUAAAAGUCACGAUUUUCUGUGGGAAUCAAUGUGUUUAGGCUUAUAUCGCCAAAUUUGAAGUGAAUCUGACCAUCCUGCUUGAAAUAGUACAUGAAAGUUUUUAUUUUUUUUUAU
Molecule: long non-coding RNA, 728 nt
Organism: Acanthochromis polyacanthus (spiny chromis)
Lineage: Eukaryota; Metazoa; Chordata; Actinopteri; Pomacentridae
Exons: 5
Source: RefSeq, a predicted model, not a curated record